This is a long non-coding RNA of Gossypium arboreum, 913 nucleotides long. RefSeq lists it as uncharacterized. Lineage: Eukaryota; Viridiplantae; Streptophyta; Magnoliopsida; Malvales; Malvaceae. The record is from RefSeq and is a predicted model, not a curated record. The transcript is spliced from 3 exons.
ACAUGUUAAACAUACUUAGGGCAUGUUUGGUUCAACAGAAUGGCCAUUCCAUUCCGUCCCUAUUUCACGCGCUACAAUGACACUUUUGUUUGGUUGAAAUUUGAUCGCCGAAUCACUAUUUCUUGCAGGCUGUAUUACGCGUAAACACUGUAUAUCCAUUCAGAGGGUCGAGCUCUGAAUGCCUAUUCAAUACCUUUCGUAAUAGCUUUUUUUUUAUUUCAGACGAAAAUCUCCUCCCACUUCCACUCAUCAUUCAAAUGAAAAUUUUCUUGGGUUUUCCAUAAAAUGCAUAGAAGACUCUCUGUUUUUGGAUUUUGGGUGUGGCAGAUUUGUGUGUGGUGGAAAAUAUGAAGAAAUCAAUGUCGAAAGCAGAGCUUUCCAAAGAAAUGUGCACGUCUCCCACAGUAUAGCCCAGCGAUUAUGGGAACGGCGAGGCUCCGAUCAAUUGUCAGUGAUUGUUGCUAUGUUUCGUUUUUGCUAGUGUUAAGGGAGUUUUUGGGGCUAACCAUUCACGGGUAUCACGGGAAUGGAGAUUAAAUGUGGUGUUGCUGAAAUCCAGAAGGACAGAAACACUCCUUUUGUGUCAAAGGUUCAUCAACUUCCCAAUGAAAAAGAGGCAGUUUAUGGAGCAUUGGACAAAUGGGUAGCUUGGGAGACUGAGUUUCCAUUCAUUGAUUGCAGCUGCAAAAGCUUUACAAAUUUUCAAGAAGAGGAGCCAAUGGUUGCGUGUUAUUCAAGUAUUUCCAGUCUAUUCGUAUUCUUGCUUUGUAUUUUCCAGCUUCUAAAAUAGAUUCAUUAAUGCAAAAAAGCUUUAUAUGUUCAAUGAUUUUCAUUUAAUAUAUAUUAUAUUAAAAUAGCCUUGUAUUAUCAUAUUUGAUUCUAUAAAAUACUCUCGGUCAAUAUUUUAAAGGAA